CUAGAUAUAUAUAAACAUGACAGUCAAUUUUUUCGAGAGUUUGAUCCUGGCUCAGGAUGAACGCUGGCUGUGUGCCUAAUACAUGCAUGUCGAGCGAUGAUAGCAAUAUCAUAGCGGCGAAUGGGUGAGUAACACGUACUCAACGUACCUUUUAGAUUGGGAUAGCGGAUGGAAACAUCCGAUAAUACCGAAUACUUAUUAUUUUUGCAUGAAAGUAAUAUAAAAGGAAGCGUUUGCUUCGCUAAAAGAUCGGAGUGCGCAACAUUAGCUAGUUGGUGAGGUAACGGCCCACCAAGGCGAUGAUGUUUAGCGGGGUUGAGAGAUUGAUCCGCCACACUGGGACUGAGAUACGGCCCAGACUCCUACGGGAGGCAGCAGUAGGGAAUAUUCCACAAUGGACGAAAGUCUGAUGGAGCGACACAGCGUGCAGGAUGAAGGCCCUAUGGGUUGUAAACUGCUGUGGUUAGGGAAGAAAAAGUAGCAUAGGAAAUGAUGCUACCUUGACGGUACCUGAUUAGAAAGCAACGGCUAACUAUGUGCCAGCAGCCGCGGUAAUACAUAGGUUGCAAGCGUUAUCCGAAAUUAUUGGGCGUAAAGCGUCUGUAGGUUGUUUGUUAAGUCUGGCGUUAAAUUUUGGGGCUCAACCCCAAAACGCGUUGGAUACUGGCAGACUAGAGUUAUGUAGAGGUUAGCGGAAUUCCUUGUGAAGCGGUGAAAUGCGUAGAUAUAAGGAAGAACAUCAAUAUGGCGAAGGCAGCUAACUGGGCAUACACUGACACUGAGAGACGAAAGCGUGGGGAGCAAACAGGAUUAGAUACCCUGGUAGUCCACGCCCUAAACGAUGAUCAUUAGUUGAUGGGGAACUCAUCGACGCAGCUAACGCAUUAAAUGAUCCGCCUGAGUAGUACGUUCGCAAGAAUAAAACUUAAAGGAAUUGACGGGGAUCCGCACAAGCGGUGGAGCAUGUGGUUUAAUUUGAUGUUACGCGUAGAACCUUACCCACUCUUGACAUCUUCUGCAAAGCUAU
Molecule: ribosomal RNA, 1027 nt
Filed under: Mycoplasmopsis bovis
Lineage: Bacteria; Bacillati; Mycoplasmatota; Mycoplasmoidales; Metamycoplasmataceae
Description: bacterial SSU rRNA
Rfam family: Bacterial small subunit ribosomal RNA
Source: RNAcentral